UACGUAGGGUGCAAGCGUUGUCCGGAAUUAUUGGGCGUAAAGAGCUCGUAGGCGGUUUGUCGCGUCUGCUGUGAAAACCCGAGGCUCAACCUCGGGCCUGCAGUGGGUACGGGCAGACUAGAGUGCGGUAGGGGAGAUUGGAAUUCCUGGUGUAGCGGUGGAAUGCGCAGAUAUCAGGAGGAACACCGAUGGCGAAGGCAGAUCUCUGGGCCGUAACUGACGCUGAGGAGCGAAAGCAUGGGGAGCAAACAGG
Molecule: ribosomal RNA, 253 nt
Filed under: uncultured bacterium
Lineage: Bacteria
Description: partial 16S ribosomal RNA
Rfam family: Bacterial small subunit ribosomal RNA
Source: RNAcentral